AAAUCUCCCUAAUGUGGCUGGGUUGACUACAUUAACAGAGACAAAGAAACUACAGAUACCGGAAUCCAAAGUAGACAAGCAGGAGGUUGGAAGAACACAGCAAACCAGGCAGCAUCAGGAGGUGGAGAAAUCGACUUUUGGUAUAACCUCUUUCAGGAAUGGAGGUGGUGAUAGGGGAGCUGCAGUUAAAGAGAUUGGAGGACACAGAUUCCCAUAAAAGGAGGGAACAAAAAAAGUACUGGUAGAGGUCUGCUACAACUACAUGCACUCGUCCCCUGGGAGGAAAUGGCGUUUAUAAUCAAGAGUCCAUGGACCUCACCACCCAUUACCCUUAAUCCAACAUUGCCAUUUUGAUUUUCUGUUUCCACACUCAUAUAACCUGACUCCUGGCCAACCUAAAUAUAGCUAGAAGGAAGAGAAAGUUCAAACCAUACUAAAGAUGAGGAAGCAGUCUCACUUGAUCUAACAUUUGUUUGCAUCAGCUCUGAUACUGGUACUGCAUACAGCUUAGAGUGUUUUAUUUCAUUCAUUUUCAGAUUGUGAGCAUCAUAGGCAA
Non-coding RNA from Chiloscyllium plagiosum (whitespotted bambooshark), 556 nucleotides. NCBI's taxonomy places the organism in Eukaryota, Metazoa, Chordata, Chondrichthyes, Orectolobiformes, Hemiscylliidae. The record is from RefSeq and is a predicted model, not a curated record.